Molecule: ribosomal RNA, 234 nt
Filed under: uncultured bacterium
Lineage: Bacteria
Description: partial 16S ribosomal RNA
Rfam family: Bacterial small subunit ribosomal RNA
Source: RNAcentral
UGAGUAACCUGCCCUUAACUCUGGGAUAAGCCUGGGAAACUGGGUCUAAUACCGGAUAUGACUCCUCAUCGCAUGGUGGGGGGUGGAAAGCUUUAUUGUGGUUUUGGAUGGACUCGCGGACUAUCAGCUUGUUGGUGAGGUAAUGGCUCACCAAGGCGACGACGGGUAGCCGGCCUGAGAGGGUGACCGGCCACACUGGGACUGAGACACGGCCCAGACUCCGUACGGGAGCAG